Molecule: transfer-messenger RNA, 378 nt
Filed under: Actinomycetaceae
Lineage: Bacteria; Bacillati; Actinomycetota; Actinomycetes; Actinomycetales
Also listed under: 1 other name
Description: Pauljensenia sp011038875 Standard tmRNA
Rfam family: transfer-messenger RNA
About the family: Bacterial tmRNA, also known as 10Sa RNA or SsrA, is named for its dual tRNA and mRNA-like properties.
Source: RNAcentral
GGGGAUGAUCGGUUUCGACGACGGUCGUCGAUCGAGGGGAAGCGGGCCGAGGAUGCGCGCUCUACUCGCAAACGAUGCGUGUAAACCAAUAGGUGCUGAACAGAACCGCACCGACUACGUUCUCGCCGCCUGAUAUCGCCGCGUGAACCUUUAGUCCGUCAGCCCAGGUGGUGCUCCCAGCCUGGUGUCUGGCGUCAUUCAGGGAGCCACUGGUUGCAAGUCACGUCGGUGGGCUUGCUUCGACAUUUAGCUGACUGAGCCUAUCCGGUAGCAGGUCUGCAUGAUGCCGGGGGCCGAGAAAUACUUACGCAGACUGCGCCCGGAGAAGACCUCGGGGCCGGCCGUCGGACGGGGGUUCGAUUCCCCCCAUCUCCACUG